GAGUUUGAUCGUGGCUCAGAACGAACGCUGGCGGCAGGCCUAACACAUGCAAGUCGAACGAGCUGAGACCUUCGGGUCUCGAUGCUAGUGGCGCACGGGUGAGUAACGCGUGGGAACGUACCCUUUAGUACGGAAUAACGCAGGGAAACUUGCGCUAAUACCGUAUACGCCCUCCGGGGAAAGAUUUAUCGCUAAAGGCUCGGCCCGCGUCUGAUUAGGUAGUUGGUGAGGUAACGGCUCACCAAGCCGACGAUCAGUAGCUGGUCUGAGAGGAUGAUCAGCCACACUGGGACUGAGACACGGCCCAGACUCCUACGGGAGGCAGCAGUGGGGAAUAUUGGACAAUGGGCGAAAGCCUGAUCCAGCCAUGCCGCGUGAGUGAAGAAGGCC
This 390-nucleotide ribosomal RNA is filed under the name uncultured Alphaproteobacteria bacterium. Its description in RNAcentral is "bacterial SSU rRNA". It matches the Rfam family "Bacterial small subunit ribosomal RNA", at positions 9 to 416 of the family's 1533-position model. The record is from RNAcentral. Lineage: Bacteria; Pseudomonadati; Pseudomonadota; Alphaproteobacteria.